This 492-nucleotide ribosomal RNA is filed under the name uncultured bacterium. Its description in RNAcentral is "partial 16S ribosomal RNA". It matches the Rfam family "Bacterial small subunit ribosomal RNA", at positions 29 to 507 of the family's 1533-position model. The record is from RNAcentral.
AGUGAACGCUGGCGGUAGGCCUAACACAUGCAAGUCGAACGGCAGCACAGUAAGAGCUUGCUCUUACGGGUGGCGAGUGGCGGACGGGUGAGGAAUACAUCGGAAUCUACUUUUUCGUGGGGGAUAACGUAGGGAAACUUACGCUAAUACCGCAUACGACCUACGGGUGAAAGCAGGGGAUCUUCGGACCUUGCGCGAUUGAAUGAGCCGAUGUCGGAUUAGCUAGUUGGCGGGGUAAGGGCCCACCAAGGCGACGAUCCGUAGCUGGUCUGGGAGGAUGAUCAGCCACACUGGAACUGAGACACGGUCCAGACUCCUACGGGAGGCAGCAGUGGGGAAUAUUGGACAAUGGGCGCAAGCCUGAUCCAGCCAUACCGCGUGGGUGAAGAAGGCCUUCGGGUUGUAAAGCCCUUUUGUUGGGAAAGAAAAGCAGCAGGUUAAUACCCCGCUGUUCUGACGGUACCCAAAGAAUAAGCACCGGCUAACUUCGUG